This 416-nucleotide ribosomal RNA is filed under the name uncultured bacterium. Its description in RNAcentral is "bacterial SSU rRNA". It matches the Rfam family "Bacterial small subunit ribosomal RNA", at positions 9 to 795 of the family's 1533-position model. The record is from RNAcentral.
GAGUUUGAUCCUGGCUCAGAUUGAACGCUGGCGGCAGGCCUAACACAUGCAAGUCGAGCGGUAACAUUUCUAGCUUGCUAGAAGAUGACGAGCGGCGGACGGGUGAGUAAUGCUUGGGAACUGUCUUGAGGUGGGGGACAACAGUUGGAAACGACUGCUAAUACCGCAUAAUGUCUACGGACCAAAGGGGGCUUCGGCUCUCGCCUUUAGAUUGGCCCAAGUGGGAUUAGCUAGUUGGGAACUGCAUUUCGAACUGGCAAACUAGAGUGUGAUAGAGGGUGGUAGAAUUUCAGGUGUAGCGGUGAAAUGCGUAGAGAUCUGAAGGAAUACCGAUGGCGAAGGCAGCCACCUGGGUCAACACUGACGCUCAUGUACCAAAGCGUGGGGAGCAAACAGGAUUAGAUACCCUGGUAGUC